AAACCGAGUGAUGAUUUUGGAUUAAUAUUCUCACGACGGUCGUCUGAGGUACCUUUUGUGUACCUGACUGAUGUUAAUAUCCAAAUUUUCUGAUGGUU
RNAcentral lists this small nucleolar RNA (98 nucleotides) under Nicotiana sylvestris (wood tobacco). RNAcentral's name for it is "Small nucleolar RNA Z161/Z228". It matches the Rfam family "Small nucleolar RNA Z161/Z228". From Rfam's summary of the family: Z161 and Z228 are members of the C/D class of snoRNA which contain the C (UGAUGA) and D (CUGA) box motifs. Lineage: Eukaryota; Viridiplantae; Streptophyta; Magnoliopsida; Solanales; Solanaceae. The record is from Rfam by way of RNAcentral. RNAcentral also lists the same sequence under 1 other name.